GGCCUAUAUUUAGGUAUUUUAUUAGGAGAGUUCUACAUGAUAUUAUUAUUGAGAAUUAAUAAAAUAUGAGAAUUUGUUCUCUUCAUUUUAGAUAAUUUGUUGCUCUAGAGAAUAUUUUGUUUAUCAAUUGUAAAUUUGUUUCCCUAUCCUUUGAGAAUUUAUUUAUCACCCCUUUGUUCUCCAAAAUUCUAUUAGUUCUACAACAAUUUGGUAUCAAAGCAAGGUAUCUAAUUGUCU
This 237-nucleotide unclassified non-coding RNA is filed under the name Hevea brasiliensis (rubber tree). The record is from RNAcentral. Lineage: Eukaryota; Viridiplantae; Streptophyta; Magnoliopsida; Malpighiales; Euphorbiaceae.